CUGGGAAAUUGGUCUUUAACCAUAACUGGUUAUGAGACAAAGGGGUGACAAGCUUUGGACCCCUCAGGACAAGAAUGGUAUUGAGGGGCUGGAGUGUGUCCAGGGAAGGGAACAGAGCUGGGAAGGGUCAGGAGCAGCUGAGGGAGCUGAGAGGGCUCAGCCUGGAGAAAAGGAGGCUCAGGGGAAUCUUCUGCUUGUUGGGGUGUCCUGUGCAGCUGGAGUUGGACUGAUGAUCCUUGGCGGACCUUCCAACUCAGGAUAUUCCAUGAUUCCAUGAUCUGAGUUGCAAUCCUCAGCAUUGCCCAAUUUCUUUCCCCACAAAAGUUCCCCAAAAGUCCCUCCCUGGCCUGAACACCUGGUGGGCUGUGAAAUCCUGCACUGGCUUCUUUAGGGAUGGUGUGUUUAGGGAAAUAUCAACAACUCCCUCAAAAUGAUCUCUUAACUCAGGUUCUCAAAGCCAUCCGAGUGUCUGCCUUCAGAGAGAGGUCCUGGGAAGAGUUUUCCAGGAGGAUGUGAACACUGGAGCUUCAUCCCAGUUCUCCUCCCAUUUUCAUUAAUAUCCUUAUUGCUGUUUUUGCAGUGGCAAUGCAGAUGUUCAUGUUUAUCUGGCCAUGGGAGGACACGAGAGCAGUGUGCUCAGAGCUAUCAGCAAGAGCCUGAUCUUUCCAGCAAGCUGUUGUCAUGGUCUACAUGAAUUUAUCCAGGCAAACUGUGCAGGAGCCGGGGAUGAACCCGCAGGUUCCCGGGAGGAAUCCCCAGGGCCCAGCAGGAGGCAUUAACAGCACGUCUCUCCAGCGAGCCGUGAUGGGAAGAGAACGGAGCAAAAAAAAGGUAAAGUGCUUAAAAACAACUUGUAUUUUUAGAGCCCAGUCUCCCCCAGAAAUCUUCGCAGAUGUUGAGCUCUCCACUUCUGAUUUGCAAGGAAUAAUAGUUUGGAAGCCCAGCUGAGACUCCUGGGCUGUAAAUUUUCUGUAAUGCUUUUCUCCAGACCCAUUUGCUGUCCUGCUAAUUAAUCCAGGUAAUGGCUGGGUUGUUUUUUUUCCCUUCAGCAGCAGUUUUCCUUUUUGUUAACACGAACAGAGAGAACUGGAGAACCGAUCUCUCGAAGGAUCCUGGCUGGCAGCAAUAUCAGCAUCUGACUGAAGAGAACUCAGCCACACGCAUAAUCCUCGGGAAAAUUCAUCUCCACCCUCCGCAGACCCCGGUGAGAGCCCUUGAAGUGGUAAUUAAAGUCUAUUGAGUGGCAACUGCACCUGUUUAGAGAGGAGAGUGCGGG
This 1276-nucleotide long non-coding RNA is filed under the name Ficedula albicollis (Collared flycatcher). Its description in RNAcentral is "lncRNA (ENSFALG00000028549.1)". Lineage: Eukaryota; Metazoa; Chordata; Aves; Passeriformes; Muscicapidae. The record is from RNAcentral.